GGCUCGCGCCCGUAGUCUGGAGAAUUAAUCGCCAGGGUUGCGUUGCGGUGUGCCCCGGUUCGAGUCUUAGCGCGCCGGAUCGGCCGGUUUCCGCGACUUCUCCAGUUUACGGGAGCGAGCCCUCU
This 125-nucleotide non-coding RNA is filed under the name Human adenovirus 7. The record is from RNAcentral. Lineage: Varidnaviria; Bamfordvirae; Preplasmiviricota; Pharingeaviricetes; Rowavirales; Adenoviridae.